This 5908-nucleotide long non-coding RNA is filed under the name Gossypium barbadense (sea-island cotton). RNAcentral describes it as "long non-coding RNA (GBAR_LNC002926)". Lineage: Eukaryota; Viridiplantae; Streptophyta; Magnoliopsida; Malvales; Malvaceae. The record is from RNAcentral.
AUCGCUUCGAUAAUGUUGAUUUUGCUUUGAUUUUGUUCAAUAAAAUGAUUGAAAAGUACCCAAAGCCUUCAAUUGUGGAAUUUAAUAAAUUAUUAGCACCCAUUGCUAGAAUGAAACAUUGUGCCAUUGUUGUUUCUAUGUGUAGCCAGAUGGAAUUAUUGGGAGUUUCCCACGAUGUUUAUUCUUUGAGCAUCUUGAUUAAUUGCUUUUUUCAAUUAGGUCGAAUUGAUUUUGGUUUUUCUGUUUUGGGGAAAAUGCUGAAGUUAGGUGUUGAACCUAGUGUUGUAACUUUUUCAACUUUGAUAAAUGGGCUUUGUAAUCAAAGCAAGAUAUCUGAGGCUGUUAGUAUAUUUGAUGAAAUGGCUGAAAGAGGGUAUCAACCUAAUUUGAUUGUUUACAAUACAAUGCUUAAGGGGUUUUGUUAGACCGGCAAUACUGAUAGAGCUGUUAGGUUUCUAAGACUGAUGGAAGGCAGCGAUUACGAACCCAAUAUUAUAGCAUAUAACACUGUCAUUGACUGCCUUUGUAAGGACGGUUUGUUACAGGAGGCUCUCAGUCUCUUAUCUGAAAUGAAGGUUAAGGGCAUUAGACCAGAUAUCUUUACUUACAAUUGCUUAAUUCAUGGUAUGUGUAAUUCAGGCCAGCAGGAGGAGGCAACAAGGCUCUUGAUGAAAUGGUGGAUGAUAAUAUUUCACUUGAUAUUGUCACAUAUAAUUUAUUGAUUGAUGCUCUUUGCAAGGAAGGAACGAUUUCUAAAGCUGUAGAGACCGUUGACAUGAUGAGAAAGCAAGGCAUUGAGCUAAUGUUGUCACGUAUAGUACAUUGGUUGAUGCGCAUUGCAAGGAAGGGAUGGUCUCUGAAGCUGAGGAUUUUGUUGGCGCAAUGAUAAAGCGAGGCAUUGAGCUUGAUGUUGCUACCCAUAAUGCAUUAAUCAACGGCCAUUGCCUGCAGAAUGAAAUGGAUAAAGCUAGAAGAGUUUUCAACUUGAUGAUUAAGAAGGGUUCUGCACCUGAUAUAGUUACCUACAACACCAUGAUCAAUGGAUAUUGCAAAGCGAAGAGGUUAGACGAAGCAAUGGAACUCUUUCACGAAAUAUCUCAAAAGGGACCAAUCCCGAAUACUGUCACAUACAGCACUCUUGUGCAAAGUAUGUUUCAGUUAGGGAAAGUUUCAACUGCUUGUGAACUUUUUAGAAAGAUGCUUGCUUCUGGACAAGUUCCAGAUAUAGUGACCUGUAACUUUUUGCUAGAUGGUUUAUGUAAAACAGGUCAUAUCGAAGAGGCAUUGGAACUUUUUCAAGUGAUGCGAAACAGUGGAUUGGGACUUGAUAUUGUCCCAUAUAUUAUCCUAAUUGAUGGUUUGUGCAAAGCUGAGCAAAUCGAAGUUGCGAAGGAAUUAUUUCAUCAACUCUCAGACAAUGGUUUAAAACCAAAUGUUUACACAUAUUGUGUAAUGAUUAAUGGACUAUGUAAAGAGGGAUUGCCAGAUGAAGCAUACAGGUUGUUUGGGAGAAUGGGAGAUAAUGACUGUUUGCCUAAUAGCUGCUGUUAUAAUGUAAUGAUUCGGGGGUUCCUUCGCAAUAGUUAUACCUCAAAAGCAACACAACUUCUUACGGAAAUGGUUGGGAAGGGCUUUUCUGCAGAUAUAUUCACUGCCACCUUAUUUAUGGAUCUCAUUGUACACUCUAAUAAAUCAAUUUUACUCUGAAAUGUUUCAUAAAUUGUGUAAAGAUCAUCACUUGCAAUGUGGAUCAGUUCGUAACUAUUGCACAGUGAUAAUAGAUUCUGGAAACUUGAAUGAGGUUUAGUGUCUAUUUUCAAAUUUGUUGAUUUUGUUUUGAGUUGUGUAGUAAGUGAGAAUCUUGUUGGUGAUAAUGUUAAGAAAUUCGGGGAAAACCAAUAUCUGUUGCAAUGACAAUAGCAUCGGUUUCUACCUGCUCAGGACUUUUAAGAAGCUUUUAACUUCUUAAAAGUGUAGAACUCAAUCAAAUUUAGGGUCUGAUUAAUUGAAAACACAUUUUCCGAAAAUUGAUUUUUGGAAAAUAAUAUGAUUUUUUUUUAUAAAUGUAAUAUAUUCUUUUGUUCUAAUGAUUUUAGGUAAAACAUUCUACAUUAUUUGAUAAUUUUUUUCUCAACUUAUUUUCCGAAAAUUAUUUUAAUGUUUUGAUUAUUUUAUCACAAAAACUGUUGUAAAAUAAAGUAAUCAUUUUCAAUCAAACUUAGAACUUAAUUAGUAGAACUUUAAAUUUAAUAUCUAUCAAUAUAAUUAUUUUUUAUGAGUCAAAAAAAAAAAUCUUGAGUUCAAAUUUUAUUGAAAGCAUUUUUGUAAUCAAUAGAUUCAUAUCGAAUAUUAAUGGAUAUCUCUACAUUUGCAGUAAUGCGGAUUUGGAUAAUAGAUGUCCAAGGAUGUCUAUCUACUAGUAAAUAGUAAUUUUAAUAUCAAAUUUGUCAUCACUAAUCAUAUCUUUGCUAUUUUGUAUAUAUAAUAAAUUUCCUUUACAAGUAAAUAUUUGUAAAAGAAAAAAAAAUAAAAAAAGAUACCUAAAUACAGAUAACUUUGGACGUUCCUUUGUGCUGUAAGACAGGCCACUGAUACAAAUAUAUGUUAUUCUUUGCAUUAUCAUCGAGAAAAGAAUAUAGAGGAACAAAUGUAUCCCAAGCUUUAUAUAUGCCAGAUGGAUCAGCAUUCUGAACAAUCCAUGGAUGGUCAAGUAGCUUAUGUAGUGGGAGGCGCUGGGAAGAAUCUUUGACAAUCAUCUGUAAAUAAUGUUGAAGUGUGUUCAGUAUAUGCCAACGAUGGAGCAUUGUCGUUAUAUUUAUAUAUUUGCAAGUAAUAGAAGCAACUAAAGGUACUUGACUAAUGAGGUCCUUGGCUGAAGAUGAAACUAUUGGUUUUGGAGAGAACUUCAAAUCCACUUGCACAAGCCUAUGAAUGGGGAAAAGAGUGAACAAGUUGUGACAGGUAUCCGAAAGAAGUACCCUAGUGAAAGAGCUAUGAAAAGGAAGCUUAAGUUUCAAUCAUGUUCUUUGUUUCGGAGCUUUAAUCAUGUUCUCUAGUGUCCGCAGGUCGGGUUUACCCUCUAUAAGUGUCUGAAUGUUCUUUGGCCUCAAAAGGGGGCACUCCAUAAAGAAACUCAUAGCACAAACCAGUUAGUUCUAUGGUUUAAUACAUAGUGCAUCGCACGUAGUCCGCCUGCGAUUAAAUGUAUGCACUGACCAUCCAAAAUAUGCAAUCUUUAGUUCACCCUGACAAGGAAUCCAAAUUGACUAGAUAAGCACAAUGAGGCUUUCAUUGAAUAACCAAACGAGUACCAGCCAUGGGUUAGGAAUCAUCUGUGCACCAAUUAACAAGUUCUCAGGUUUGAUAUCUCUCUGUAUGACAUGCUUUCCAUGGCAUUUAAGUGCUCGAGCUGAAAAGGCAACAUACUGCAACAAAUAACAUAAGCAUACAACAUAUAAAUCCAUUGAACACAGUACCAAGAAGAAACUCACGGUAGCAACGCGUCUUUCGCUAAAGCAUUUACAUUUUUGCAGUUUCUUGUAAAGUUAACCUUUGGCUGCAUAUUCCAGAAUCAGAUAAACAGGUUUCUGCAAAAAGGUUGUAUUCAGAAAACCAAAUGUUAAUUCAUAUAUAAUAUUUUCAAUUACAUACAUACAUUGUUGAAUUAUCAAUAUAGGCUUAUACCUGAUCAUAGAAAUAUCCAUAAAGCCUCAAUAUAUUGAGAUGAUGUAGUUGAUGUCCAACUUGAGAUUGUUAUAGUUGGCUUUUAAAAAGAACUUAGAGGGCCACAAUAUGAUUGCUCUACUGCAAAAAUACACAAGGAUCUUGCCACAAAUAGUCAUGUGGUAGUUAAUUGCAUACAAAUAUAACACUUGCAGUUUCUUAUUUGGAAUGUAGGCAAAAAUCUUGAAUUUUGUGAAAUCAACUAAAGUUAUAGGAACUAUAGUUGUCAUAUCUCAUAUGAAUUAUAUUCGAAUCGUAGUAGCUAAUUUUUUUUUUUUUUACAUCAAUGUGUAUUUGGGAAUGCCAUAUACCAUCCUUUUGUUACAUUUUUUUUUUAAGUUAUUGGACUGGAUAUUUUAUUUAUAGUUAACAAAACAAGUAAAAAUAUACAUAAUCCUAAACAGCUGAGUGAUCCAAUUCGGGAAAAACCUAAAAAAUGGUUCAGAUAGUAUCUACAUGAGAUUAAGUUUAUUCCACAUUUCCACUAUUAUUAGACACUUCCUAAACACAUGGUCAAUAGUCUCCGAACCCCCUCUACAUUUGGGGCAUGUUGUGUUUAAUCUAGAUCUUCUGUUAUAGAGAUUAACUAGUGUAGGCAAAAAAUUCCAAGAAAUUUUCCACGUUAUAAUUUUAUGUUUUGUAGUUAAUUUUAAAUUUCACAAUUUCCUGUAAAAGCCUUUAUGGCAUUCUGAAAAUUUGUAUAUUGACUAUCACAACAACCAUCAAGGAGCAGCUUAUAAGCACUCCUCAUCGAGAAAACACCUGAAGGUUCGUCUCUCCCACUAACAUAUCCUCAUCCUCCAAUUUGGAUUCUUAUAUUUUUGUUAGCAACACUCUCCUCAAGGGUAUUCCUUAUCAAACCCACAUUCUAUUUCCUGUGAAAGUUGUCAGUUAAGUCAUAUACAUUUACUAUGUUACUGUCACUGAUGUUUCCAUAAAAUAUGUAAAUUUUAGCCCCUACCAACCAAGCAUCCUCUCAAAUAGAAAUUUGGUUGCCUUUACUAACCUUCUAGCCAAGACCAUCCUGUAGCAGUCCCUUUAUUUCCCAAAUGCUUUGCCAAGUAUAAGAAGGUGAACUUCUUAACUUUGUUUCCAAAAAAUCACAUUGAGAAUGGUGCUUAGAUUUUAAAAUAUUUUUAACAUUUUUAUCCAUGUCAAGCUUGGUAAAAAUUUUAGACCUAUUUUAGAUCAGGCCUAAAAUUUUGGUUGGGCCUAAUCCAAACCCGACCCGACCCAUGAACACCUCUAGUAAUAAUCAUAUUCUUUUAAUUAAUUUUAUUAUUGUAUAAUAAAUUGAUAAAUAAUUUUGUUAAAAUAUUAUAAGAUAAUAAGUGAAUAAUAUAUAUUAAUAUUUUAAUUGAGUAAAAAAUAUAAGAUAUUUAAUAUUGGAAUUUUAUAACAAUAAUUCAAAUAUUAUAUUGAUAUAAAUUGAAUUUUAUUAUUUUCGUUACACAUCGAAUGUCGAUGCAUUAUUUUGUGAUUAAAUUUUCAAUUUUCUGCUACUGCCGCCGCCAUUUCUGCUUUCAUUUUGCUUAGUUUCAAGAUAUGGGUAAGCUUCCUUCUUCUUUUAUUCUUCGUUCAGUUGUUAAUGGUGGAAGCCAUCUUUCUAAUUUCCACUCUUUUUCUUCUUCUUCUAACACCAUUGCUACCCACAUCGAAGCCCUAAGUAAGAAACCCAUGCCUGUAAGAGGAAAGGGAAAAAGAGACCACCGCUUCGAUAAUGUUGAUCAUGCUUUUAUUUUGUUCAAUAAGAUGAUUGAAAAGUACCCAAAGCCUUCAAUUGUGGAAUUUAAUAAAUUAUUAGCACCCAUUGCUAGAAUGAAACAUUAUGCCAUUGUUGUUUCUAUGUAUAGACAGAUCGAAUUAUUGGGAGUUUCCCCCGAUGUUUAUUCUUUGAACAUCUUGAUUAAUUGCUUUUGUCAAUUAGGUCGAAUUGAUUUUGGGUUUUCUGUUUCUGGGAAAUUGCUGAAGUUAGGUGCUGAACCUAGUGCUGUAACUUUUUCAACUUUGAUAAAUGGGCUUUGUAAUCAAAGUAAGAUUUCUGAGGCCGUUUGUAUGUUCGAUGAAAUGACUGAAAGAGGGUAUCAACCUAAUUUGAUUGUUUACAGUAUAAUGCUUAAGGGAUUGUGUAAGACCGGUAAUACUGGUAGAGCUGUUAGGUUUCUAAGGCUGAUGGAAAGCAGAG